RNAcentral lists this ribosomal RNA (253 nucleotides) under uncultured Zavarzinella sp. RNAcentral's name for it is "partial 16S ribosomal RNA". It matches the Rfam family "Bacterial small subunit ribosomal RNA", at positions 524 to 776 of the family's 1533-position model. Lineage: Bacteria; Pseudomonadati; Planctomycetota; Planctomycetia; Gemmatales; Gemmataceae. The record is from RNAcentral.
GACGAACCGUGCGAACGUUGUUCGGAAUCACUGGGCUUAAAGGGCGCGUAGGUGGUCUGCCAAGUCCGGGGUGAAAGCCUCCAGCUCAACUGGAGAAGUGCCUCGGAUACUGGCGGACUCGAGGGAGGCAGGGGUCGUGGGAACUUCCGGUGGAGCGGUGAAAUGCGUUGAUAUCGGAAGGAACGCCGGUGGCGAAAGCGCACGACUGGUCCUCUUCUGACACUGAGGCGCGAAAGCCAGGGGAGCAAACGGG